CACGACUGGUGAAAAGGUCUUUUCUGAGGCGAUGCAGAGCCUGUAUUCGUGCCGAAGGAAAGCAAUUUGAGCAUUUACUUUAGUUUUAAGGAGGAAAUAAUUAAAUUAAAGUUUUACGAUAGUUAAUUGAUUCAUUUUGAUUAGUUUGACUCUCUUACUUACCUCUUUGCUAAUAAUAAUAGAAAUAAAAAUAUUUUUUUCAGACUAUUUUGUCAAUAAUUAUAAAAAUUUGCUAAAGUUGAGUUGUUCGCAAUGAGGUCCAUUUGCAAAAAAAAUUAAAAAUAACAUUUUUAAAGGAAAGAAAAGUGGCAAGUGUUGCACCAUUUUGAAAUCUUGAGUAAAUGGGUCAUCUUUUGAAAUAAGUUGCCAAGUGUAGUAUAGUACUUUUUUUUUCCAAAAUGAAGUGUCAAAGUUAACUGACAAAAUUUUUGUAAACCAUGACUCAAUGAAACUUAAUUCAUUUUACUAAAUUAACAAUGUUUAUUAUGUUUAUUUGUAGUUGCGAUUUAUAGCACGGUUAUUCUAGAUUACUUCAUUAAAAAAAUCACUGCCAAAUUAUGAAAUUUGUGAUCACAGUACUUAAAAAUGCGACCAAGGGUGUCAAUUUUCAACUUUUUUGAUAAAUGUCUAUUACUACUUAGCUAAAUGACAUAGAAUUUUUUUCUUAUUUUUCCCAGAACUGGUAUGAAUUGGCCUCUCGGCCGGUACCAUUUUAUCGUCAAGUUUUGGGACACCCUGUAUAUGAUUCAGAUGGAAUUGUGAGUUUUUUCUCUUUGAUUUUUUUAAGCUAACUUUUGUUUUUUAUUAAAUUGAAAGUUGACCUGUCCUGGCUUCGCACGGGUAGGUCCAUUAGAUAAUAAAGCGUCCUUCAAUUAAAAUUUUCAAAUUAUAUUUAAUAUACAGAAUUCGUCCAGUUACAGUUUUAUUAUAUUACAGACAAUAUACCUAUAUAUUUUUGUAAGAUUUUUAGUUAUUUUGUUUCAACAGAUCCCAAGUUCAUCAGAAUACAAAGAUAUUAUGACAAGUACAGGUAGUACUUGCAUAAUAACUGCAACGUCCAUCAUUGACCAUGGCAAUUCUAGCGAAACAUGUGCAAUUACAAUACAGGACCCAAAACCAAUUACAUAUCUGAUUAAAGAUUCGGAAACAUGUACAAAUUAUGACAGUCAGCAGAUUUUUACAAUUAAGUACAGCAAAUGUGGUUCAAAACGAAAUCUGAGUACCAAAGUUUGCAAAUAAAAUUGGAUGUGACAGUAAACCUAAGAAGUAUCUAUUCCGUUAUCCACCGAUCGUUAUUCACCGUUCGUUAUCCACCGUUUUCAUCUUUUAACGCAACAUUUAAUAAUUUAUCAUGCGGAUUUUCUUUAAAAAUAUCAUUAUGGAUCGUGAAUGAGGAUCACGUGUUAGGAGUUAUAUCGGAUCCCAUCCCAAGAAUUGUGCGAUGGAAUGCUGUUUUCGGCCUGCGAAAUUAGUUAUAUAUUCGUCAUGUGCCUAGCUGAUCGUAAAUUUUAACAAUUUUGUGAUUUUUUUUUUUAAAUCUUUAUUUAUUUUAAUGAACUUGUAUACAAUUUGUACAUGUCAGUUCUAUAGUACUUAAACCUAGAUUAAACUAAUUAACAAUUGACUUAAUAAUUUUCUUAAUUUAUUUUCAUAACCUCGUGUGUGGCCAUGUGGCUCAGGUUACCCUAAGUUUGUUUUAUUUUAAAUCUUUGUAAUGAGUAUCCUAUAUAUAUAAAAUUAAGAUAAAACAUAGAACAAAGAGACGUUAUUAUAAAUUUUCGUAUUUUUUUUCCUUUUGUAAAUAAAACCUCUUAUAAAAUUUUGGAAAUUUAAUAAAUUUAUUUUAAAUUCUAAAUAUAUUUCUUUGAUUUUUAUUCACCAAUCUUUGUUACGAUUGUCGGCUCGAAUAGAGAGCACGGCUAGGUAGACCAAAUCCCUGGCUUGUGAUUAAAAGUUCAGGCCUCUGCGAGACUAUCCGAGCAUAUUUAUAUCCCAGCUGGCUGGCGCCCGAAGGUUUUCUUGUAUCCAUUUUCCUUUUCUAUUUUGUCAACUGGAAGUAAGAAUUCAUUUUUUUUAUUUUUAUUUAUUAACUUAAUUUACAUU
Long non-coding RNA from Maniola jurtina (meadow brown), 2103 nucleotides. RefSeq lists it as uncharacterized. NCBI's taxonomy places the organism in Eukaryota, Metazoa, Arthropoda, Insecta, Lepidoptera, Nymphalidae. The record is from RefSeq and is a predicted model, not a curated record. The transcript is spliced from 3 exons.